Carassius gibelio (silver crucian carp) is the source of this 1049-nucleotide long non-coding RNA. RefSeq lists it as uncharacterized. The record is from RefSeq and is a predicted model, not a curated record. Lineage: Eukaryota; Metazoa; Chordata; Actinopteri; Cypriniformes; Cyprinidae. The transcript is spliced from 6 exons.
ACUUGCAGUGCAAGAUUCUUGUUAUUCUUUGCCUUUAAAAUAUUUUCAGCAAAAUGUAGUAAGAAACCUUCUCCGUCUUUGAAACUUUUAUUAUUUUGUUUAAGUGUAGAAUUAUUUUAAUAAAUAAGGGUGAAAAAAAUAUUUCCCAGAGGUCUCACGGGUUUGGAACGACAUGAGGAUCCGAGCGAAGCACAGCAGGACGGCACUGCCGCAGUUUUCCGGGCAUCUCGCCCAAGACAUAAAUGAAGCGUCGGCCGAGCUCUGUCCACCUCUUGCAGGAUCCGGAGGUUCAUUCCUCGGAGGUUUGUGUGAAAUCUCUGGAUUCGCUGGAUUCAGCUCGUUGACUCCUGCAGUUUUCGCACUGUUAAUGGCGGGUGGUCUAACAAGACCACAGGGAAAGCGUGAGGUCAUAGUUCACUUGGUGUGCUUGACUGUGUGGAGCUGACCUGAGCAGCCAGAAACCUGCUCUAGUGGACCAUUACAACAGGACGAGCAUUUCACAGACCCCCUUCAUCGCCACUGUAUAGCCAGGACAUUCAUCUAAACAGCCUUAUUCAUGUAGAAAAUCAUACAAAUGUGUAAAAAACAUGAGGACAAAUGGACCCUCGCCUCACGAGUGGCUUUUAACACAGAUCAAUUCUUGCUUUCCACUUCCAUUAUUGUUGCGUUUUAAGCCUUGAGAGGAUGAAUCUGUGCCCAGAGAAAGAGACAGACGGCUGAGGACAUCUGCUCUGCAUGUCCCACAAUCAUACCUGCCAUUAGUCUCCAAAAACAGCCGCAUUUGCACAUUGAAGUACAUCCGAGAUGCUCACUAAUGUCCUUCACACAAAGUGUACAAGUGGUCUCACGCUGAUGAUGUAAUUGUCAUAAUAUCAUUACUGCAGGGGGCAGCAAGAAUGGCCUCUGGCUGAAUGGCAGCUGUCCCCACAUCCACUUAUACGCCAUAAUGAAGAGCUGUCAGGAGUUUUACAGUCGUUAAUUACUGCAACAUUCAAAGUUCUUGAGAGGUUUUUAGUGGGCCAAUAAAGUUAAUUUAUCAGCCUGUAUUU